RNAcentral lists this ribosomal RNA (835 nucleotides) under uncultured crenarchaeote. Its description in RNAcentral is "bacterial SSU rRNA". It matches the Rfam family "Archaeal small subunit ribosomal RNA", at positions 38 to 879 of the family's 1478-position model. Lineage: Archaea; Thermoproteati; Thermoproteota. The record is from RNAcentral.
UUGAUACUAAGCCAUGCGAGUCAUUGUAGUAAUACAAGGCAGACGGCUCAGUAACGCGUAGUCAAUCUACCCUAUGGACGGGAAUAACCUCGGGAAACUGAGAAUAAUGCCCGAUAGAACACUAUGCCUGGAAUGGUUUGUGUUCCAAAUGAUUUAUCGCCGUAGGAUGGGACUGCGGCCUAUCAGUUUGUUGGUGAGGUAAUGGCCCACCAAGACUAUUACAGGUACGGGCUCUGAGAGGAGUAGCCCGGAGAUGGGUACUGAGACACGGACCCAGGCCCUAUGGGGCGCAGCAGGCGAGAAAACUUUGCAAUGUGCGAAAGCACGACAAGGUUAAUCCGAGUGGUUUCUGCUAAAGAAACCUUUUGUCGGUCCUAGAAACACCGAUGAAUAAGGGGUGGGCAAGUUCUGGUGUCAGCCGCCGCGGUAAAACCAGCACCUCAAGUGGUCAGGAUGAUUAUUGGGCCUAAAGCAUCCGUAGCCCGCUUUGUUAGUUUUCGGUUAAAUCUGUGCGCUUAACGUACAGGCUGCCGGAAAUACUGCAAAGCUAGGGAGUGGGAGAGGUAGACGGUACUCGGUAGGAAGGGGUAAAAUCCUUUGAUCUAUUGAUGACCACCUGUGGCGAAGGCGGUCUACCAGAACACGUCCGACGGUGAGGGAUGAAAGCUGGGGGAGCAAACCGGAUUAGAUACCCGGGUAGUCCCAGCUGUAAACUAUGCAAACUCAGUGAUGCAUUGGCUUGUGGCCAAUGCAGUGCUGCAGGGAAGCCGUUAAGUUUGCCGCCUGGGAAGUACGUACGCAAGUAUGAAACUUAAAGGAAUUGGCGGGGGAGCAC